Molecule: RNA transcript, 5310 nt
Organism: Drosophila guanche
Lineage: Eukaryota; Metazoa; Arthropoda; Insecta; Diptera; Drosophilidae
Gene: rdgB
Gene name: protein retinal degeneration B
Exons: 13
Source: RefSeq, a predicted model, not a curated record
GUCAUAGACGUACAUAUGUACAUAUGUAUGUAUGUAUGUAUGUUCUCUCUUCUGGCACUGCGACCGGUCGCCAGCGUCGCCCCCAGCCAUGUACCGCUACAAUCGAUGAUUGCCUAAGCGAAAGAGAAGAGCGAGCGAGUUAGGUAGAGGGCGAGCGUGAUACCAAAGACAAUAGGCAACUGGAAAGAACGGGAACGACAAGCAGGAGGAGGGAUCCGAUCCAUCAACCAUUUAAGUGAAUAAACAAAAAAAAACUCCAAAAAGAAGACACACGCACACAGAAAGCAUUAUGUUGAUUAAGGAGUACCGUAUACCGCUGCCCCUCACCGUGGAGGAGUAUCGGAUUGCCCAGCUGUACAUGAUAGCGAAAAAGAGUCGCGAGGAGAGCCAUGGCGAGGGCAGCGGCGUUGAAAUAAUCAUCAAUGAACCCUAUAAGGAUGGUCCCGGCGGCAACGGCCAAUAUACGAAAAAGAUAUAUCAUGUGGGUAAUCAUUUGCCAGGCUGGAUCAAGAGCCUCUUGCCAAAGAGUGCUCUAACCGUUGAGGAGGAGGCAUGGAAUGCAUAUCCAUACACAAGGACACGCUACACCUGCCCCUUUGUAGAGAAAUUCUCGCUGGACAUUGAGACGUACUAUUUCCCAGACAAUGGCUAUCAGGAGAAUGUAUUUCAGCUGUCAGGCAGCGAUCUACGAAAUCGGAUUGUCGAUGUAAUUGAUAUUGUUAAGGAUCAGCUAUGGGGCGGUGAUUAUGUAAAGGAAGAGGAUCCCAAGCAAUUUAUAUCGGACAAGACAGGUCGUGGCCCGUUGGCCGACGACUGGCUGGACGAGUAUUGGCGCGAGGUUAAAGGCAAAAAGCAGCCAACACCCCGUAACAUGUCCCUGAUGACGGCCUAUAAGAUAUGUCGCGUUGAAUUUCGUUAUUGGGGCAUGCAAACGAAGCUGGAGAAAUUCAUACACGAUGUGGCACUGCGCAAAAUGAUGCUGCGGGCACAUCGUCAGGCCUGGGCAUGGCAAGAUGAAUGGUUUGGCCUUACCAUUGAGGAUAUACGCGAGCUAGAGCGUCAGACACAGCUGGCACUGGCCAAGAAAAUGGGCAGCUGUGAAGAGUGCAGCGAUGAUAGCACCUCCGAAGCAUACACAAGCACGGCGGCCACUGCUGUCGCAUCAACGGCUGGCAGCGAACGAAAGAAAUCAGCACCGGUCAUACCGCCAAUUGUCACCCAACAGCCGCCUAGUGCCGAGGUCAGCUCCGACGAGGAGGAGGGCGACGAGGAAGAUGACGAUGAGGAUGAGAAUGAUGCUAUUGGAACUGGCGUUGACCUGGUCACCACCGCACAGGGCACCGCCAAAGAGCGUUUCCGAUCGCAGAGCAUACAGAUGGCCAACAAGGGAAAAUUUGGCUCAAAGGGUGCUCUACACUCUCCCGUGGGCUCGGCGCACAGUUUUGAUUUGCAGUCCAAAAAGCCGCAUGCCAAGACAGCGCCUCACAGACAUGUGGCGAACUGGCGCAUGGAACGACUGGAAGUGGACUCUAAAUCUAAUUCUGAUGAGGAGUUCUUUGAUUGUAUCGACACCAAUGAGACCAAUUCCCUGGCCAAAUGGAGCUCUCUGGAGCUGCUGGGCGAAGGCGAUGACAGCCCACCGCCCCAUGGUGGCCCCUCCAGUGGCGGUUCUGUGGUGGGUGUUCGCGGCCACAGCGCUGGUGGCAAACAGGAGGAUAGCAUUUUUAAUCAGGACUUUCUAAUGCGCGUCGCCUCGGAGCGGGGCAACAAGCGGCAGCUGCGCUCCUCGGCCAGUGUGGAUCGUAGCCAUGAUUCGUCGCCGCCAGGAUCGCCGAGCACACCAUCUUGUCGAACCACCAUACUGAUGCUGGUCGUUCAUGCCGGAAGUGUGCUGGAUGCCGCCAGUGAGUUAACGGCGAAGAAAUCCGAUGUUACCACGUUCCGCGGCUCGUUUGAGGCCGUAAUGCGGCAGCAUUAUCCAAGUUUGCUAACCCAUGUGACGAUCAAAAUGGUGCCCUGUCCAUCGAUAUGCACCGAUGCUUUGGGGAUACUCUCCAGCCUCAGUCCAUACUCGUUUGAUGCUUCGCCGUCGGCCGCGGAUAUACCGAACAUAGCCGAUGUACCCAUUGGGGCCAUACCCCUGCUGGCCGUGGCCUCGCCCGAGUUCCAUGAGACCGUCAAUAAGACGGUGGCAGCAGCCAAUAUUGUAUAUCAUGAGUUUUUAAAAUCGGAAGAGGGACAUGGCUUCUCCGGUCAGAUUGUAAUGCUCGGGGAUUCCAUGGGGUCCCUGUUGGCAUACGAGGCUUUGUGCCGAGCCAAUGGCAGUCAGCCAGGCACCGCUGGAUCGGGGGCCUCAAACUCAGGCGGUGAUGCUGUUGCUGCCAGCGGUGGCAGCAGCAAUGCCCAUCUGAUAAAUAGCCGACACUCUAGACUGGACGAUGAUGAGCGUUUCAUUGAGGCCGAUCUGGAUGCCAAGCGUUUGCUGGUGGCGCCAUCGCCGCGUCGUCGUCGCUCCAGUUCGUCCAGCGAUUCGCGUGCCGCCAAGCUGGACUUUGAAGUCAGUGAUUUUUUCAUGUUCGGCUCGCCGCUGUCCGUUGUCUUGGCCGCACGCAAGUUACAUGAUUCCAAGACGGCAUUGGUGCGCCCGAACUGCCACCAGGUUUACAAUUUGUUCCAUCCAACCGAUCCGAUUGCCUCGCGACUGGAGCCGCUGGUUAGUGCACGCUUCUCCAUACUGUCGCCGGUCAAUGUUCCACGUUAUGCCAAAUAUCCACUGGGAAAUGGACAGCCAUUACAUUUAUUGGAGGUUAUUCAAUCACAUCCGCAGCACUUUAACGAUGGCAACAAUAUUCUUGCCGGUCGUCGCCUCUCGGAUGCCUCCAUGCAGAGCACGAUUUCAGGACUAAUUGAAAAUGUUUCACUCAGUACAAUUCAUGCCCUUCAAAACAAAUGGUGGGGCACCAAGCGCUUGGACUAUGCUUUGUACUGUCCCGAAGGUCUGAGCAACUUCCCCGCUCAUGCAUUGCCGCAUCUGUUCCAUGCCAGCUACUGGGAGAGCCCCGAUGUGAUUGCGUUUAUAUUGCGACAGAUUGGAAAAUUUGAGGGCAUACUGUUUGUGGGAUCCAACGAUGACAAGGAUGCGGCCUCCUUCCAUCCAGGGCAGCCGCGCGAAAAGUGGAUCAAGAAGCGCACAUCGGUGAAGCUGAAAAAUGUGGCCGCCAAUCAUCGGGCCAACGAUGUGAUUGUCCAGGAGGGACGUGAGCAGCGUUUGAAUGCCCGCUUUAUGUACGGACCACUGGACAUGAUCACGCUGCAUGGCGAGAAGGUGGAUGUGCACAUUAUGAAGGAUCCACCGGCGGGCGAGUGGACAUUUCUCACCACCGAAAUGACGGACAAAAAUGGACGUAUCUCUUACAGCAUACCCGAACAGCUAUCCCUCGGCUAUGGCAUUUAUCCGGUUAAGAUGGUCGUGCGUGGCGAUCAUACAUCGGUGGACUGCUACAUGGCCGUGGUGCCGCCACUCACCGAGUGCGUUGUCUUUAGUAUUGAUGGCUCCUUUACCGCCUCCAUGUCGGUGACGGGUCGCGAUCCCAAGGUGCGUGCCGGUGCCGUUGAUGUCUGCCGCCAUUGGCAGGAGCUCGGCUAUCUGCUCAUCUACAUUACCGGGCGUCCGGACAUGCAGCAACAGCGUGUCGUCUCUUGGCUAAGCCAGCACAAUUUCCCCCAUGGAUUGAUCUCAUUCGCCGAUGGGCUGUCGACCGAUCCAUUAGGUCACAAGACCGCCUAUCUCAACAAUUUGGUGCAGAAUCAUGGAAUCUCAAUUACGGCCGCCUACGGCAGCAGCAAGGAUAUUACUGUCUACACAAAUGUGGGCAUGCGUACCGAUCAGAUUUUUAUUGUCGGCAAGGUGAGCAAGAAGUUGCAAUCGAAUGCCAUUGUGCUGAGCGAUGGCUAUGCGGCACAUUUGUCGGGGCUUCAGACAGUGGGCGGCUCGCGCCCAGCCAAGGGGAAUGCUCGUAUGGUCAUACCCAGGGGAUGUUUCAAUUUGCCCGGCCAGACGGCAAAUCCGCGACGUCGAAGCAACGAGACCGGACUUUCAUCGCCCAUACGCAGCGGCUAUCUGAACCGCAAAACCUAUUUGAGCCAUCACUAGAUAACCACACCAGACAGACGGUUCCCACUAGAAAAAAGCUUAGCAUAAGCCAACCACAAAUCAAACUUAGCCCCAACCAAACCAAAAAGAACUGCGAACUCCUAAAAGAUUUCUAGCACACCGCGCAAUCCUGCAUUUCGUUCUGCAUACUAGCAAAAAGAGAGAGUAUAUAAUAUCAAGGACAACAACAUUGAUGUCUCCCAUAUAUGUCACCUCUGUGUAUAUAUCACAUGAAUAUAAAUAUUAUAUAUAUUUAUAUACUAUGCGCGAUAUAUAGCAACAAAAUAUUGGGUCGGGUGUACAUAUACAUAUAUGAAAGCAAAAUACUAUUAACAAAAAUGAGAAAACUAAAGUAUUGUACAACAUAUGUAUAACCAAAAGUCACGCGGUACCUGGAACGAAAGACUGUUUCCUCAUGUUGUUUGAUGGUUUUCCAAACCACUUAAAGAAAUACAAAUGAAAAUAAAUACCUAAUAAAUGUGAAACCGAUCGUAAAACUAUAUACCACAUAUAUAAAUACAAUUAUAUAUAUACAUAUAUAUAAAUAAAGAAAAUACAGAUAUUUAAUAUUAAAAGCCAUUUAACAUAUGAAAGCGAACAAAGUUCAAAACAAAGCAGAAACUAAUAAAUAUGGUACUAAAUCAAAUUGACGGACAACACAACACAAAAUGGAAACCAAAAAGAUGAAAGAACUCUCUAUAACGCUCUCUCUCAAAAAAAAAAAAAACCCCCGACCCAAAGAACUAAAGCGAGUGCGGAAAAGGCGUUGCAAAAUCAAAUGACAAAUUGAAUGCAUUUCUUGAUUAAACAAAAAAAUUCUUACAACAAACAAAAUUUAUAUACUAACGGCUUCCGAAUACCAACCAAAAAAAAUUAUAUUUAUAUUUGUGCCCAAAACUUCUUCAGUCUUUAGGCACUCAGCAAGAAAACAUUAGAAUCUCCAUAAUUGUGAUAGUCUUUAGCUACCAAAAUAAAAGAAAUUGAAAACCAAACUGCAAAAAAAAAAACAAACGAAAGGGUUAAAUAUGUAUUGUAAUAUCUGUACCAAACAAAACAAGCAGAAAUAGUUAUUUGGAAAUAUAAAAUCACUUUUUUUGCUGGUCAAAAGUUGAAAAACAAGUUUAUCAACAUUGAAAAAUAUGAAAUGUAUGUAUAAA